This 255-nucleotide ribosomal RNA is filed under the name uncultured bacterium. RNAcentral describes it as "partial 16S ribosomal RNA". It matches the Rfam family "Bacterial small subunit ribosomal RNA", at positions 524 to 776 of the family's 1533-position model. The record is from RNAcentral.
UACAGAGGGUGCGAGCGUUGUCCGGAAUCACUGGGCGUAAAGGGCGCGUAGGCGGCCUGAUAAGUAGGGGGUGAAAUCCUGCGGCUUAACCGCAGGGCUGCCUUCUAAACUGUCAGGCUCGAGCACAGUAGAGGCAGGUGGAAUUCCCGGUGUAGCGGUGGAAUGCGUAGAGAUCGGGAAGAACAUCAGUGGCGAAGGCGGCCUGCUGGGCUGUUGCUGGACGCUGAGGCGCGACAGCGUGGGGGAGCAAACAGG